UUAUUUGAGAGUUUGAUCCUGGCUCAGGACGAACGCUGGCGGCGUGCCUAAUACAUGCAAGUUGAGCGCUGAAGGUUGGUACUUGUACCGACUGGAUGAGCAGCGAACGGGUGAGUAACGCGUGGGGAAUCUGCCUUUGAGCGGGGGACAACAUUUGGAAACGAAUGCUAAUACCGCAUAACAACUUUAAACACAAGUUUUAAGUUUGAAAGAUGCAAUUGCAUCACUCAAAGAUGAUCCCGCGUUGUAUUAGCUAGUUGGUGAGGUAAAGGCUCACCAAGGCGAUGAUACAUAGCCGACCUGAGAGGGUGAUCGGCCACAUUGGGACUGAGACACGGCCCAAACUCCUACGGGAGGCAGCAGUAGGGAAUCUUCGGCAAUGGACGAAAGUCUGACCGAGCAACGCCGCGUGAGUGAAGAAGGUUUUCGGAUCGUAAAACUCUGUUGGUAGAGAAGAACGUUGGUGAGAGUGGAAAGCUCAUCAAGUGACGGUAACUACCCAGAAAGGGACGGCUAACUACGUGCCAGCAGCCGCGGUAAUACGUAGGUCCCGAGCGUUGUCCGGAUUUAUUGGGCGUAAAGCGAGCGCAGGUGGUUUAUUAAGUCUGGUGUAAAAGGCAGUGGCUCAACCAUUGUAUGCAUUGGAAACUGGUA
RNAcentral lists this ribosomal RNA (654 nucleotides) under Lactococcus lactis. RNAcentral describes it as "bacterial SSU rRNA". It matches the Rfam family "Bacterial small subunit ribosomal RNA", at positions 1 to 638 of the family's 1533-position model. Lineage: Bacteria; Bacillati; Bacillota; Bacilli; Lactobacillales; Streptococcaceae. The record is from RNAcentral.